Aedes aegypti (yellow fever mosquito) is the source of this 1328-nucleotide RNA transcript. RefSeq lists it as uncharacterized. Lineage: Eukaryota; Metazoa; Arthropoda; Insecta; Diptera; Culicidae. The record is from RefSeq and is a predicted model, not a curated record. The transcript is spliced from 4 exons.
UACAGUUACAUUCCAAAUAAUACGACUGGAGUACGAAAGAUGCGAAACGAAAGAGAUUGACAUGAAUGGACUAUGGAAUAAACAACUGAAUUCACUCGGUCCAAAAAUGUUGACACUUAAGUGAGACCCACCUAAACACGUUGGGAGCAUUCAGAAGCGUGCCCCGCUCAAGUGCCAAAAUUCUUGGACCGAGUGAAUCUAGUUCAAAGGUGGAAUAGUCAAUCGAACUGUGUCACUGUGGUGGUGAAAAACGAAUACAAGAUGAACACAACGCACUUGUCAAAAACCCACACGCGAUCGUCAUUCCAUUUGCGCUCCGGGUUGUUUUGUUUUGUUUACUCGCGGAAUCACUUGUGAAAAACCAUAAGAAAGUAAAGUUGGCUGAGGAAAUCCGGACAAAAGUUUUAUUACCAUAAUCUCCAUCACUAAUUGUUAAGGAGUUCUGUUUGAUCUUUCGACCUUGACGCUUGGUUUUGCCGGAGCGAGCGACGAGGGCAGGAUCAAACAUGUCGCGCGUCGAUCUCCUUGCAGCGAAUCAAACAAUGUCGUCUAACGAGUGUCCCAGCCCAAUUUGGUAUCAUUUUCGGAAAACUGAUGGAAAUAAGGCUGUAUGCCGGUAUUGCCAUAAACCAAUUGCAACAUCUUCAGGAUCCACCAGCAAUUUGCGGCGUCAUCUUAAGAGCAAACAUCCGUUCAUCAGCAUAGAACGUGAGCAGCAAGAGACAGUAGGAUCUUCCGCCGAACAAAAAUCAGAAGAACUGGAUUCAAGUGACUCAAUCUCACUUUGGUCGCCCUAAGGGAAGCAUAUCAACCUCAAUACCGUCUGCUGCAAUCGAUCAUGAUCGUAUAAAUAUGGCUGCGAUCGGUAGACUCCAACUAGGCUAAGUAUUUCUGUUUACAGUUGCAAGUAGCUACUGAAGGAGGAGUGUUCAACAGCAGUGAAUCGCAUCGAGAAUGCAGCUUAUCGGCGAAGCAAUGCUCUUGAUAGUGCUCGUGCGAUUGACCAGUGACGUUGCCGCUGCAUCCAUUGACUCGGGAUCGUCGACGUCAGCACCAGCAGAAUUGAGCUCACAGCGUUUUCUGAUAAAUAAUCAGUGGUUCAGUACGCAGAAACCCACCGUCGGCUCGUCUUCGAAGGGAUCCACAGGUCAAGGAUGGUUCCGCAACACAUUGUCGGUCUAUUCACGGAUACAGCCCAGAGUGGGUCGAGAUACCGAGGGUGUGGAUCCGGUUAAAGGUCGGCCUUCUGAUGGCGAGCAGUAUGCCGAGGAGAUUGUUCUGAACUCAUGAAAGUAUAAAUAUGAAAAAUGGAAAAUGAUACAGCUGAA